Molecule: long non-coding RNA, 2778 nt
Organism: Crotalus tigris (Tiger rattlesnake)
Lineage: Eukaryota; Metazoa; Chordata; Lepidosauria; Squamata; Viperidae
Exons: 6
Source: RefSeq, a predicted model, not a curated record
GCAGGCAGGCAGGCAGGCAGGCAGGCAGUUGCAACCAAAGGUUUCAGCAGCUUGUCCUUUUUAUCGCCUAUCCUGGAUGUCCAGAAGGCCAGACUGAGCACUGUGCAGGUGAAGGAGAGGGAGAGAAGUAUGUGGGAGAGAAGCGGAGGUGGGUUUUCCAUGAACUGGGGAAGCUUCUUCCUAAAAUCUCAGAAAGCUUGAACUUUUGUGCUUCCUUCAACAACAGAAUGGCUCUUUAUGCCUGCGUUGCAAGUAAAGGAAUCUAAGUGUACUUCAGUCAGGAAUCAAACAGAUUAAGGAGGAUGGAAUGUAGUACGCUGAGCAUUUAUAAAUAUUUUCACAGAAAGAAGAGUGAGAACAAUACUUGGAUGUAUGUGCCAAAAAGAAGUCAAGAAGCAUUGUGUUCAGAUGUAAAUAGGGAAGCUAAAGGAGCAAUACACAGUAUUUCCUCCUCCAAUUUGUCAUCACCACCACAACCUGUGAAGAAGGUUGAGCUGAGAGCUUAAUGGUUGCACACCUAAUCUGCAGAAAUAAAGAAAGUCAACAUGAGCCUUCCAUUUUGAGAUCUGGGAGCAACAAAGCAUCACUGAUGUGCGGAAGAUACCCUUCACGAUUCAGGAGUGACUGAAUCAUUAUUCAAAGUGCACUUCAAAGCAAAGCCAGGAUUAGUCGGGACAUAUUGUUUCCUUACUAACCAAUGUACCUUGCUGAGAUGGAACAUGAAAUCAGAGAUGGUUCCUGAAGAAUUAGAAUUGAAGAACAGUUGAGUAUCAGAGGCAGCAUUUUUGAAUACCAAUUACUAGUGGUCAUGUAUAGCAUUUGCUCUCCAGACCUGCUGGCUGGCUUCUCAGAUGCUUAUUGACAAUGUUGCAGUAAGACAAAUAAAGACCAAGCCAAAAUACACCAUGGGACAGUAAUAAAUUGUAUCAGCAUGCAAAGAAUAUUCCUGAUUUGCAGAAUGGCGUAAGUUCAAGACCACUUAGCGAUGAGACAGUGGCAGCAGCAACACAAUCAGAACCACCCCUUGAUCAACUCCAUCUCCAGUUGGGGUCGAAAACAUCCACUAGAGAACACUGGUUUGCAUAUUCUGGCUGUAAAUUAUGUGUGUAUUUCAGUAAAUUGACUUUAAAAAUGGCCCAGAUCUUUGUAAUUGAGGAGAUCUCAUCCUAAAGGGGGGGGGGAAGCAGCACAAGCUGGUUAUAUAUGAAAAAACUGAAUUUUUUUCUUUUCUUUUACUGAAGGGGGUGAUAGUAGUGGAUUUCAGCUACUUUCCCAUGUCUUGUACAGGUUAAUAGAAGGGUCAUUGUCAACAUACUUGUAGUGCUGGAAUCUUUUCAAGUUGUCUUGAAAGAGAGGGAGUAAUGAAUAGUAAAGGACCUUUAGGUCAUAGCAAUCCAUCCCUCUUAAAUUCCUGGAAAAUGGUGUUAAGUGGGCCAGAAAUAAGGUAGUUUUGCCACACAAGUUUCUGAAUCCAUACAAUCGGCAUGCAGCAUGUUUCUCUUCUCUCUGCCCUGAUGUCCCCCCCCCCCGGUACAUCUCUAAUUAGAGAUCCAAAUUAGAACUGAAUCAGAACAGAAUUCUAUGCCAAAUUAGAAUAUUUUCCAUCUGUAACAAACCACCAUUCCAAAUAGUGGGUGCCAAGCAUUAUACAUUUUAUACACCCUGGGACUUUUCAAACUGCUGAGCUGAAAUGUAUUCUUAAGCAACCUGGGGACAAUCCUUAUGGGAACUUGGCAGGAAAAAAUUGCCGGGCUGUGUUUGUGGCCAUGGUUAGGUGCAGAUGGGAAAAUGUCUCUUGAAACCAAGGCAGUACCAUUAGACUAAUGAGAGAGGGAGUUAUUUUUGUUCUAAUACACAAAGGGAGGACACAAUUGACCCUUUCAGUUUAUUAGAAUGUCAUUGUCAAUAGCAGGGUGGGGUGGGGGCCAAGCCACAAUCUUAGGCCCCAUGAAUUAUCCCUGGUUAGAAUUGUGUAGAAGGAAUGACUUUCUUUUGGGCAACUAUCACAAAGUAAAUAGAUAUGAUGGGCACUAGAGGUGGAGAGGUAUCAGCAGCCCUUGCUUUUAGUAGUGAAGGAAGUUGAGUUUGAGGACCAGAUGCAAAAGGGACCAUGUAUUGUAAAAACUCUAUUCAUAUUCGUAAGGAUAUGCUCUUCUUCACUGUGCUAAAAAGGCAAGCCAAUUUCAUCCAUCAGAAAAAAAAAAUAAAGAUCAAUGUGCCAUUUAUGGUUAAGCACUGGAAUAAUCAACAUGUCUUAAGUACCAAAAUGCUGGUCCCCGACUCUCUCAAGAUGUUCCCACCAUAUCUACACAUCUUCUGUGUAAUGCCUACAUCUGUGACAUCAGAAGAUUCAUCACUUAGAACAUUUCACAUCUUGGAAUAGGAGACCUUAAAAUUUACUGUACGAAGGUUUUGUUUUUUGUUUUUAUAAAAAAAGGACAUAACAUCUAAUUUUUAAACAAGUUUAUAAUCUCAUGAAUUUUGUUAAUAAAAAAGAAACAACUGAACAAAAUGUUUAUAUUAUCAAGGCAGAGUUGAAUAUAUAUAUAACACAAUUUCUUUGCAAGUCAUUAUCUUGUCAGUAACAUGACUCCAUCAAUUAAACACAUAUAUGUUGAAGGCAGCAUAUGCACUUGUAUUACAGACAUCUAUUAUCUCCCACUGCUAGUCCUUCCAAAAGGAACUCAACGUAUGUCAGACUAUAUAUGCAAAAGUUGUCUCCUCCUCUAUUAAAGUGCAACACAUCACUUUCCAAGUAGACAAAAAAAAAAAAAAAAA